Molecule: ribosomal RNA, 256 nt
Filed under: Salmonella enterica subsp. enterica serovar Kentucky
Lineage: Bacteria; Pseudomonadati; Pseudomonadota; Gammaproteobacteria; Enterobacterales; Enterobacteriaceae
Also listed under: 1 other name
Description: partial 16S ribosomal RNA
Rfam family: Bacterial small subunit ribosomal RNA
Source: RNAcentral
UCCAGAGAUGGACUGGUGCCUUCGGGAACUGUGAGACAGGUGCUGCAUGGCUGUCGUCAGCUCGUGUUGUGAAAUGUUGGGUUAAGUCCCGCAACGAGCGCAACCCUUAUCCUUUGUUGCCAGCGGUUAGGCCGGGAACUCAAAGGAGACUGCCAGUGAUAAACUGGAGGAAGGUGGGGAUGACGUCAAGUCAUCAUGGCCCUUACGACCAGGGCUACACACGUGCUACAAUGGCGCAUACAAAGAGAAGCGACCU